GAUGAACGCUGGCGGCGUGUCUAACACAUGCAAGUCGAGCGAACGGACGAGAAGCUUGCUUCUCUGAUGUUAGCGGCGGACGUGUGAGUAACACGUGGAUACACUACCUAUAAGACUGGUAUAACUUCGGGAAACCGUAGCUAAUACCGUAUAAUAUUUUGAACCGCAUGGUUCAAAAGUGAAAGACGGUCUUGCUGUCACUUAUAGAUGGAUCCGCGCUGCAUUAGCUAGUUGGUAAGGUAACGACUUACCAAGGCAACGAUGCAUAGCCGACCUGACAGCGCACUCGCUCACACUAGAACCAAGACCCCGUCCAGUCGCCUACGGGAUGCACCAGCAGGGCAUCAUCCGCACUGGGCGCCAGCUUGACCGAGCGACCCCGCGCCAGUGGUCAGGCCUCUCGGUUCGUAAAGCUCUGUUCUGCGCGACGAACAUCUGUGUCAGUCACCGUGCACCUUCUGACGGUACCUAAUAAGAAAGCCACGGCUAAAUACGUG
RNAcentral lists this ribosomal RNA (497 nucleotides) under uncultured bacterium. RNAcentral describes it as "partial 16S ribosomal RNA". It matches the Rfam family "Bacterial small subunit ribosomal RNA", at positions 28 to 507 of the family's 1533-position model. The record is from RNAcentral.